AGCUGUGAGAGGCGGCAGAGCUGCACUGCGAGCUAGCUACCUUUUCCGUUAAAAGCAGACAGUAGCCCUGCCGCCGAGGAGUAAGAUGUCAGAAGGAAUCUCUGAGAGUGGUUCAUCAGCCAAGGCCUCAUCAUCACAUUCUACACUGUCCUGGUCUCUGUUGCUAUUUCUGAUUCCUGUUCUGCCUACUGCACAGACAUCUAGCUGUGUGAGGCCAUUCUCUAUCCAGCAUGGUCGGGUGAACGUGACUGAGACGAACAGGGGCUCAUUCCCUGUGGGCACUGUGCUGCAAUACAGCUGUGAUUCAGGCUACACUGUGGAUGGUCUCAGCCUUGUUGUCUGCACCAGAGAGGGUCUCUGGUCUUCAGGCAUACCACGUUGCCUUCAUAACAGCCACUGUCCCCCUCCCUAUGAGCCAGAGAAUGGUGGUUACACAUGCCACCCAUCUCCAUGUCAGCGUCUGACUCAUGGCACAGUGGUGAAGUAUUUCUGUGAUGAGGGCUACACGCUGAAGGGAAAUUACAAAUAUCUCACCUGCCAGAAGGGUAACUGGAACGGACCUAUGCAGGUCAGCUGUGUGCUCACUCAAGGUUGUGUAAGGCCUUUCUCAGUUCAACAUGGCAGAGUAAACAUGACUGAGACAAACAGAAGCUCGUUCCCUUUGGGAACUGUGCUGCAGUACAGCUGCGAUUCAGACUACAGUUUGGAUGGCCCCAACAUCAUUGUCUGCACCAGAGAGGGUCUCUGGUCUUCAGGUCCACCACGCUGCCUUUACAAUAGUUUGUGCAGUCUCCCAUUUCAGCCAGAGAAUGGGGGUUACACCUGCCACCCAUCUUCAUGCCAUCAUCUGACUCAUGGUACAGUGGUGGAGUAUUUUUGUGAAGAAGGCUACACUCUUAAGGGAGACUACAAAUAUCUCACCUGUCAGAAUGGGGACUGGACCGGCCCCAUGCAGAUCAGCUGUGUGCUUAGUCAAGAAAACCAUGCAGCUCCUGUGCUGGGGAUGGAUACCUUGUCCAUCGUGGCAACCACAGCCAGCACUGUAGCUGUUGUCCUUCUCCUUGUGGUGGUGUUUGUCUUACUGCAACCAAAACUGAAGUCUUUACAUAAUGCACGGCGUGAGCAGGAAGGCACUGCGCAACCUGUGACCAUCAUGGUAGAGGGUGUGCAGGUGACCUUGCCAUCCUAUGAGGAAGCUGUGUCCGGAGCUGGACGUACGGUCAUGCCUGGACCCCUACCCCACGCACAGCUGGAGUCUUUGGAGCAUUCUUUAGCCCAGACUUCAUCCUCACAGGAUGGGGAGAUUGCAGUGGUACAUCAACCACAAUCUUCUUCUUCCUACUCCUCCUCCUCCUCCUGGAGCUUGGAGGGCCCACAGGGAGCUACUGCAGCGUCCUCAGCAUUCCAGAAUCAAGACUCCAGUCAACAAAACAGUUUACCGUCUCCACAUGACUCAGAGCAGGAUGUGGCUGAUGACAUUCCUUUAUUAAAGGAGUCCUGAGAGUUCCGGAUUAACCCCUCUUUUGUUUGGGUACCAUAGACUGCAGCUGUAAAGGCAUGAAGGCUGUGAUUUGACAUUGAGUUGCACCUCUGCAACACAGCCCAUCUCAGGGUCGUAGUGGGUCUGGUUUGCCAGGAAUCGCAAGAAAUAAUGCAGUAAUACACUCCAGGCAGGACAGCAAUCUAUCCCAGGGCCUCAGGCACCCCCCACCUCAGACAUAGCCAAUCAUGUUUUUAUGUGAAGCCUGAGCAGUUGAUGGCACCACUUGGAUUUGAACCCUGGAUCCCAGCAGUAGUGGGCUACCGUUGUUUACCUUAUUCAUGAAACAUAGAAAAGCAAAAAAGCAUCCUAUUGUUUUUCAUGGCACAGCAGGAAUUUAUGAAUUUGAAUUUUUAAAUGUGGUCGAAUUUGUUCUGACUGCCAUAGUAUACACAAAGCCACACACCAUAACAAGGGCUAUUUCUACCCCUUCUAUUGAUCUGUCACUGCCAGACAUUUCUAAAAAGAAUCUCAUUCUGGUAUUCUGAAUCACCUAUUGGGUUUAUAUGAAAAUGUUUGCAUACAUUAUCCAAAAUGAAUAUGACAAAUGAAUUGUUACUGAUUGGUAUAAAAGUUGCAGGUUGUUUCUGGUUGAGAGUAUUUAGCAACAUAAAGCGCGGGUCUGCUCUGAUGACAUAAAGAACGAAUCUUGGGUUACUGAAUAGCACACUGACAACAACCUGAUGUUUCUUUGUCAUGGGUUUAUUAGCUUUACAUGCAGUGAGGCUGUGUUUGCAUAGGAACUCUAGAAUGAUAAAUCUUCCAGCUUGAGCAUGUGCACUUGUUCUUUUCGUGACCUGUCAAUUUUUAUGUUAUUGUUUAUUGUGCACUGAGAAUUAUAUGUAGUGAUCUUUUUAAAAAAAGACUUAUGAAGUGCUAUUGAUUAGCAUUGCAAAAUGUGCAAGUAAGUUUUAAGUACACGUGAAUGAAAUGAAGCAAGGACGUUUCUAAUCUGCUAGCUUCAUUAAAAACGCUUUUACCUUUUAAGAAGCAAACUUGAUCACUUUAAUGUACUUUGUUUUAUUUCAUACCAAAAGUCAUAAACUGUAUGACGCAUUUUGUAAUAUUUAAUUUAUCUUUGCAUUGUAAAUAACUAAAGAUUAAAUAUUCAUUCCGCU
This is an RNA transcript of Trichomycterus rosablanca, 2658 nucleotides long. It is a transcript of the gene named sushi domain-containing protein 6-like, with no coding region annotated. Lineage: Eukaryota; Metazoa; Chordata; Actinopteri; Siluriformes; Trichomycteridae. The record is from RefSeq and is a predicted model, not a curated record. The transcript is spliced from 10 exons.